This is a long non-coding RNA of Panicum virgatum (switchgrass), 2328 nucleotides long. RefSeq lists it as uncharacterized. The transcript is spliced from 4 exons. The record is from RefSeq and is a predicted model, not a curated record. NCBI's taxonomy places the organism in Eukaryota, Viridiplantae, Streptophyta, Magnoliopsida, Poales, Poaceae.
UUAGAAUGCUUCCCUAUUUGCCAUUGAGCUAAACUUUGUUUCCCUUCUUGACAUCCCUAUUCAUUCGGUCAUGGUCCAUUAACCUAAUUUUUUUUCAUAUUACCUAAACUGCCCUUACCCCAUCUUCUCCUCCCUGUAUUCUCUUGUUCCAUCCUCUCCCCCAAAUGGAUCUGUAUCUCGCAGCUCUCCCUCCCUCCCUCCCCCCCCCCCCUCUCUCUCUCCUCCCCACCUUCUCCAAUCACAAAACUCUAGAUCGAGGGACAGAUGUCGCGCCUCCAAGGGAGCAGGUCCAGGUGCCGUCUCAGGCGCUAGGCUGGCCCCUGGCUGGAUCAGGAGCAGUGGCGCCAUGCGCCUACCCCUGCAGGAGGAGCAGCGGGCGUCCGCGGAGCCACAGCAAGCGGAGCGGUGGGCGCCAGGUGUAGCCCAUCUGGGAGCGACUACUAGCAGGAGGCCGAGCUCCCAGUGCUAGGUGUAGGGCUGGCCCCCGGCGAGACGGGAGCCUGGCCCGAGCAAGCGGAGUACCGGGAGCCUGGCCCAAAUUUUACAGCAGAGUUUCUACCGAGGACACAGGGGGACUGGGAGGUAUGAAGCCCACCUCUGGGACAAUAGCUGCAGAAAGGAUGGGCAGACAAGGAAAGGAAGGCAAGUUGAUAUCUAGAAUAUCCAAAAUAAAUAAAUGAUGUAGCAAAAUUUAUGCAUUUAUACCUCUUUCUGAUAUUUUGAUUCCUCUUCUUAGGUACUUACACCGAUCAUGCCUUUUAUUGUCCUAAUUACUCGUUCCAAGCUGUGGCCAGCUCCAAAAGUAACAUCCAAGGUAAAGGCUUAUCUGAGAGAUUGCCUGCUCCGCCACUAGCUGCGGUCGCUACAUCUUCGAAACUAAAGUUACCGUGAUAGAGUGCAGCUGUGAGGUCAGGCUUGAGCAGUGGCGGAGGACGAAAAAAAUUUAAGGCCUUGCUAGUUGCUGCGCAGCUCGCAUGUAUAUGCCUUCACCAAUCACCACUCUCUCCCCCUAUGGCCGGCAUUGAGGCCUAUCAUGCAGUUUGGUCAUGGCUGCCAUAUUAGCUAUUGGGCCAAGCAGGCCAGCAGUAACAGCGGGUAAUAAAUGGGCGGCCCACAAAACUAGAUAGCAAUCGUGGCUUUCUUAUUCGUGUGUCUCUUCCACUCGCUUGUAGCUAUGCGUCCAUGGAAGCUAGCAUGAUGCCACAGCUAGAACCCGAUAGUUAGCAGCGACUUGACGAAAAAUCAAGGUAUGGUAAGCGCCAUACCUCGCCAUACCGGGUCCUCCGCCCCUGGGCUUGAGGUAUCAGGUAGUGGCACGAACUUCAGGUUAGAGAAGCUAUUGAUAGAGACGCAGAAGCGGCGGAUGUUGGUCUCGUUGGAGGCAUUGCGGAGCCACCACAUGCAGGUGAGUGUGGCACAAACAAGGCAAGAAGGGCAGUGGAUGCGUUAAAGGAUCUGAUCUAGAAGAUCGUUAUUGGUGAGUACCUUAUUGGCAGCGGUGUCUUCCUCCUCAAGCAAUGGGGAAAGCAUCACCGCUGUAGAAGAGAUAACUCUCGCACGGGAUUGUGGUUUCUUAGCUAUUCAUGUUCUAAUUUCCACCUUAAUGUUGCUACUCUUAUAGGGCUCGACUCUUAUUGUGAACUAGCAGCUGUCACCAAAACAAAAUUUGUACUUAUCUUUGCCGCAGACCAUCCCCACCUUAGUGCUACCUCCAAUGAUACAUGUCAUCCAUGCCACCAUCAAAGCAUCUGUAGCGGCAUGACAGCUACAAUAUUGUUUACAUUUGUCAUCCAACCACCACCAUGCAAACACCAUGUUCACCACAUGUUCUAUGCUAAUCUAAUACGUGUCCCCCACCGCUAACACUUGUCGUUUUUCCUUAAGGUAAUUGCUUGCCGUGUAAGCUCUCUUCAAUCCAUUUGUCAACACUAACUUACUCUUUUUGCUCUAUUAGCUGUCAUGCAAAUACUACAAUGCAUCGAAGGGUCAAAAAGUGGACUGCACACAUCCUUCCUCCUAUACCUCUCAAAACACAAAAAGUAUCAGACAUGAUUGGAGAAUAAAUAAAUGACAAUAACCAGUGUGAUGCUCUCGAGAGUUGUCCAUUAAACUUAUUAAUUGGAUCCCAAAGAUUAAAAAAUUAUUGAUUAUAUGUAUACGGAAGAUAACUUUUCCAUUAUCAAAAAAAGGAAUGUAUGCAUCUGCCUAAAUUACAAGCUGUUACUAUAUAUGAUGGAGUGAUAAUCUCUGGCAUAUGUCUCUAUCUCUUUAUUUCUUCAAUACAAUUGUAAUUUGCUUGCAUAGCACGUUUAUACAGUAGUGUGUGUG